GAAAUGUUAGUCUAACCCAAGACAGCUGAUUUCGACUCAGCAGAUUAUGAUGCACCCCAUAAUAUUUC
This 68-nucleotide transfer RNA is filed under the name Allobates goianus (Goias rocket frog). RNAcentral's name for it is "tRNA-Arg". The record is from RNAcentral. Lineage: Eukaryota; Metazoa; Chordata; Amphibia; Anura; Aromobatidae.